UGUCAAGACGCUCACUCGGAAGAAAAACAAGAAGAAAAAAAGGUUUUGGAAAAGCAAGGCGCAGGAAGUAAGCAAGAAGCCAGCAAGCGGCCCCGGUGCUGUGGUGCGACCUCCAAAGGCACCAGAAGACUUUUCUCAAAACUGGAAGGCGCUGCAAGAGGUUCCAAGAUGGACAGGAAGGCGCCAGUACCUCGCACCAAGGCCAGUGGAGCAGAGCACAAUAAGAAAGGAACCAAGGAAAGGACAGAUGGUGAUAUUGUUCCAGAACGAGGGGACAUCGAGCAUAAGAAGCGGAAAGCUAAGGAGGCAGCCCCGGCCCCACCCACCGAGAGAAGAGCUUGAAGUUGUUCAGAAGGAAGUGGCAGAGAUGCUGAAGGGCAGAAUUCUAGUGGGGCACGCUCUGCAUAAUGACCUAAAGGUACUGUUUCUUGAUCAUCCAAAAAAGAAGAUUCGGGACACACAGAAAUAUAAACCUUUCAAGAGUCAAGUAAAGAGUGGAAGGCCGUCUCUGAGACUACUUUCAGAGAAGAUCCUUGGGCUCCAGGUCCAGCAGGC
Molecule: long non-coding RNA, 555 nt
Filed under: Pan troglodytes (chimpanzee)
Lineage: Eukaryota; Metazoa; Chordata; Mammalia; Primates; Hominidae
Description: long non-coding RNA NONPTRT017987
Source: RNAcentral